GCCUGAGAAAUGGCUACCACUUCUAAGGAGGGCAGCAGGCGCGCAAAUUACCCAAUCCUAAUACGGGGAGGUAGUGACAAUAAAUAACAAUGCUGGGUCUAUGACUUAGUAAUUGGAAUGAGAACAAUUUAAACCCCUUAUCGAGUAACCAUCAGAGGGCAAGUCUGGUGCCAGCAGCCGCGGUAAUUCCAGCUCUGAUAGCGUAUAUUAAAGUUGUUGCAGUUAAAAAGCUCGUAGUUGGAUUUCUGUGAGACUUGUUUUGUUCGGCCUGCGGGUCGGGCGAAUCACUUUUCACAUCCUUCUGUUAACCUUACACUCCUUCACCGGUGUGUCUGUGGGCUCAGAUACUUUACCUUGAGUAAUUAGAGUGUUUCAGGCAAGCUUUCGCUUGAAUACAUUAGCAUGGAAUAAUAAG
RNAcentral lists this ribosomal RNA (415 nucleotides) under uncultured eukaryote. RNAcentral describes it as "bacterial SSU rRNA". It matches the Rfam family "Eukaryotic small subunit ribosomal RNA", at positions 394 to 821 of the family's 1831-position model. The record is from RNAcentral.